Molecule: ribosomal RNA, 832 nt
Filed under: uncultured bacterium
Lineage: Bacteria
Description: bacterial SSU rRNA
Rfam family: Bacterial small subunit ribosomal RNA
Source: RNAcentral
UCGACGGUGACCUCGGUGCUUGCACCGGGUGAUCAGUGGCGAACGGGUGAGUAACACGUGAGCAACCUGCCCCCGACCCUGGGAUAACCCCGAGAAAUCGGAGCUAAUACCGGAUACGAGACGCACAGGCAUCUGUAGCGUCUGGAAAGAUUCAUCGGUCAGGGAUGGGCUCGCGGCCUAUCAGCUAGUUGGUGAGGUAGUGGCUCACCAAGGCGACGACGGGUAGCCGGCCUGAGAGGGCGACCGGCCACACUGGGACUGAGACACGGCCCAGACUCCUACGGGAGGCAGCAGUGGGGAAUAUUGCACAAUGGGCGCAAGCCUGAUGCAGCGACGCCGCGUGGGGGAUGAAGGCCUUCGGGUUGUAAACCCCUUUCAGCAGGGAAGAAGCGAAAGUGACGGUACCUGCAGAAGAAGCGCCGGCUAACUACGUGCCAGCAGCCGCGGUAAUACGUAGGGCGCAAGCGUUGUCCGGAUUUAUUGGGCGUAAAGAGCUCGUAGGCGGUUUGUCGCGUCUGCUGUGAAAACCCGAGGCUCAACCUCGGGCCUGCAGUGGGUACGGGCAGACUAGAGUGCGGUAGGGGAGACUGGAAUUCCUGGUGUAGCGGUGGAAUGCGCAGAUAUCAGGAGGAACACCGAUGGCGAAGGCAGGUCUCUGGGCCGCAACUGACGCUGAGGAGCGAAAGCAUGGGGAGCGAACAGGAUUAGAUACCCUGGUAGUCCAUGCCGUAAACGUUGGGCACUAGGUGUGGGGCUCAUUCCACGAGUUCCGUGCCGCAGCAAACGCAUUAAGUGCCCCGCCUGGGGAGUACGGCCGCAAGGCUAAAACUCA